This 406-nucleotide ribosomal RNA is filed under the name uncultured bacterium. RNAcentral describes it as "partial 16S ribosomal RNA". It matches the Rfam family "Bacterial small subunit ribosomal RNA", at positions 30 to 526 of the family's 1533-position model. The record is from RNAcentral.
AUUGAACGCUGGCGGCAGGCCUAACACAUGCAAUUCGAGCGACCGUCGGACGGGUGAGUACUUUCUGGGAAACUGCCUGAUGGAGGGGGCUAACUACUGGACACUGUAGCUACUACCGCAUACCCUCAGAUUUUGCCCGAUGGGAUUUGCUAGCAGGUCGGGUAACGGCGCACCUAGGCGACGAUCCCUUUCUGGUCUGAGAGGAUGACCAGACCCACGGUAACUGAGACACGGUCCAGACUCCUACGGGAGGCAGCAGUUGGGAAUAUUGCACAAUGGGCGCAAGCCUGAUACAGCCAUGCCGCGUGUGUGAAGAAGGCCUUCGGGUUGUAAAGCACUUUCAGCGGGGAGGCGUUACCCGCAGAAGAAGCACAGGCUAACUCCGUGCCAGCCGCCGCGGUAAUAC